CUGUCGCCCUCGUUGAUCUUCCAUACUGUAGUAGUCAUCCCCGCCUUCUCCACAAGGACUCCAAGCAGUCGCCCAAUCCAGAGGAUGCUAACAACCUCAAAUUGCUGGUAAUGUCGCUAACGACUUCGAAUUAAUAUGAUAUAUCAUCUAGGGUUUUAUCUUCGGAUCCUUGUGUAAUAUUUGUUUGUAACACACACAUUUUAUUAUAGUACAAGGAAACACUGGUUUCAAGAUAAAAUUAAUGUGAAUUACGAUUAAGGGUUUAUGGCUUAAUUUUAAUAGGAAAUAUUUUAUUUAUUUUGGAUAUGUGUCAUACUCAUACACAUUGUUUAUUGAAAUUCUUCCUUCAUUUUAGAUCAAUCUACAGUACAUAGUAUGCCUUACAAACUGUUUAGUGAAUUAUAUCAUUAAUUUUUAUCUUUUAAUCCCAUGCAUACAAUUUCAAUCGCCCAUUCAGCGAAACUAAAACACCAAAUUAAACCGAAUGCAUUUCGGGUUCUUGCUCCGCCACAAGCUAGUUGCGUGGCUCAACACUCAUCCGCACCAAGACACCAAACUCAGUCAUCUGACCUCGUCCAUGUGCACCUGCCUCAAGCCACCGAUCGCGUCACUCCUCUCUAGCGCCCGCGUUAGUCGUCGCGCAUCGGAAUCAGGUAAUCCCUAAUGUUACAUCAAUUUGUUUGCAAGGUUUAAUAAUGCUUUUGUUUUUUUAUACAAUAGCAUUACAUACAUAUAUUGGAAAGUUCCUACAUGAAGUAUGUUUAUUUUUCUAUGUACAAUGAACUGAUGUACACCCACAAGGAAAUAUGUCUUGUUUUACGUACCCCGUACAAGGAACUGAUGGACCCAACCAAAUCAACCAUACACACAUGACAUCACUAAAUCUACCAAACGAGUUGCACACCCGUAGCACACCCUCAAAACCAACGGUUUAGAUCACUGGAUAAUUCAUCUCUUAUUCACUCAAAUCCAAGGGCCAAUGGUUAUUUGGAUCAUCCUUCAAUUCCUUUCUCAUCCCUCACACAUACAGAUACCCCCCUCCGCUUCUGCCUCCCCUCGCAACCCCGCGUCCCCUGUCUCCCUCACACGUCACAUCGUCGUCGCUGUCACCGACCCCUCUCUCUCUUCUCGAAACCAUGACGUUAACACGGAUAUUAGAACAAGUAUAGAUGGUGAACAGGGGAAUAAUGUUUGUUCAUAUAACAAUAAUUCAAAGUAGAUUAUAGUAAAUGCUACCUUUAAUUUUGAAUGACAACGAAGGGUCGUUAAAAACUCGAGGAAUUCUCUCUAUUUUUUCCCCUGCCCGUAGCCGUUGGGUAGCAGGUAGAUCAACUCCUGCACUGCAUGCUUUUGAGUGGGAGAGGACAAGAAAGACGAUGGCGAGACGAGAUGAGGUGAGGAGGCGACCGGCCGACCGCGACAGGGAGAGAUGAAGAUGAGAUACUUUGGACGCUGGACGAUGACGCGAAUUCGGGCGCUAGCCUACUACCGCGCCCCCACCUGUUGUUAGCUAGCAGGAGUAUUUGGGUGUCGCCAAGGUUGGCAAAAGGAGCAGGCCAGCAGGGAAAACUUUGUAAAAGCUCUAGGCUGCCAAACUCUGACCCCGUGCGGUCCUACUUCCCAGGCACGUUCUCCUACGUGCAGUGGAAUGGUGGCAGUCGACGCAGCAACAAGCAAGGUGUGGAUCGAGAAGGCGUCGGGAGAGUCGACAACAGCGCUGAACAUCUCCGGCAAGGUGUGUUGUCAUGAUGCGCGGCUGCACAGAGAAGCGAGAGAUCCCACUGGCGCCGCCGGCCGAGUCGAGCGCGGACCCCUUCCCCUCCAGUCCUGCUGUGUGCUGUCCCUUCAACGGGGAACACCGGCAAAGUUCCCACCCAAAACACACGCUUGUGGCUGUUUAUUCUUGCGUAAAGCACCUCUAGGCUCUAGUUUUGAGGGCCCGGAUAUACUACGGCCCACUCCAUACGUACGUCGGUCCGGCCCAGAACCAGAGAACAGGCGCUUCGCUUUCUCGCUCGAACCUAGCUAGGCAGUGUGCGCCACUUCAUUUGCAGCCAGCUCGCUCGCUCGGGGGCGAUGGGUAAUGUAAUAGAUAGGGUUGAAGAGUUAUUUCUAUAAUUUUUAAAAAAAUAUUUUAUUGUUUUUUUAUUUUUUACGAUUAUUAAUUUAUCGAGUUUUUUUUCUUUGUCGAGUGCUUUUCGACACUCGGCAAAGUCUUUGUCGAGUGUCAAAAAAAUACUCAGCAAAGAACUCUUUGUCGAUAAAAUAUUUGCCGAGUGCAGUGACUUCUAUCUCUAUAAUCAGCAGUAGCUGUCGAGAGCUACGCCAGAUCAGCUCUCUUACCUUGAAAUCGUAGAAGACCAAUCUCUUUCCCAGUAAUCCACAUAUUCAGAGAACACAUAAGACACGGUAUGUAGGGCCUCUUUUAAUCUUCUAUCUCUUAUAAGGGUAUAUGUUCUUUUAUAUAGAGAUGUGAGAUUCGCCCAUAUAACCUUACUAGAGUUUCUUAAUACUUCCCUUUGAACGAAUACCGCGGUGAACAUAUGACUCAUUAAAACUUCUAAAAACUCAGUGGAAAAAUAUAUAGUACGGGAGUGGUGAGCGAGAUAGAGUCAUGUGACGGGACAAUAGGGGCAUAGGGCAGGCGAUCUUCGCAAAGUCCAAAGCGGCUACUACCUCACAAAUGUGGAGUACAUGCAUAUAGAGUACGGUAUAUGCCAUGCCACCACCAGGACAGCAGUGCUCCAUGCAGCCCUUCGAUCUACAGUACAGAGGGCAGUGUCAGUCGAGUGUCUGUUAGACUGUUUGUUCAGUAAAUUCAGAGGUAGUCAGUUGCGUGGAAAAUGUAGUAAAUUCGGAGGUAGUCAGUUCUGUGGAAAAUGUAAAUUUGGCAGCCUCAUGUCAUUAUUGUCAGCAGCAUAUAUAUAGCCAGACACACCCAAUUCAGAGAUUUUGAAGCAAGCACCUGACGAAACUGCACAAUAAUUAACCAAGGGGGUGAACGGAAGAAUGUGUCCACAUAUCAGGUGCUGCUGGAGCCUGGGACUGGGAAGCCCUUCAAUCAAAAGUCGAAACUGUACGUGUGUGGAGCUUGCUAGCUAGGCCAGUAAAAACUCAGCGUACGUGAUUCAUCUCUCUACCCUGCAAAAAUGACAAAAGACACAGCUAAACAUAAACAAAAACAAGCAGUGGCUUCUCUUCAACAGGCAGGCAGUCGUUCACCGACCCAGCUGAGCAGCCGAAAACACGAUACUGGUUCGUUUACUCUCUCUCUCUCUCUCUCUCUCUAUCAUGCAUCACAGUUAAUUAGGGGGCGGGGGCGGCAAGCCUAAGCCUACUAUUACACCCUGAUGAAAGUCUGACGAUACGCCGCCGUGAGCCCGGCCCGGAGCUUCAUGUCCUUGAGGGCAGGGUCCUCCAGGAGCAGCACCUUGUCCAUGUCCCUCACCCCGAUCAUGUGGAGGUGGUCGCCGUCCUCCCUCUCCUUGCCCCUGAACAGGAGCCUCUGCUCCCGAGGCUCCAGCCCUGUCAUCUUCCACAGCACCGCCUUCAGCUCACCUGCAAUCGUUUUUUUGCACGCCCACACUGCACGCGUUAAAUAAUUAUUAGAAUAUAUUUCUUCUACAAUUGUGUGACAGCUCAUCGCAUGCUAAUAGGUGGCGAACCGACGACAAGGGAGAGGAAGGUUCCACGCAGGAUCGUCAUCGUGCACUUGCAGGUAGCUAUGCAGAUCGACAUAUUGGUCAUUGUGCAGAGACUGCAGACAAGCUAGCUAGCCCAUGCCAUUGUCUGUGUUUUCUAUUGCUAUGCUCCUACAUGGACAGGCAGGACAACCCAGUGAUACUUGUGGAGUUGUUGAGGGCUUGAGGGCGGGCCUGGUGACACUGCACGCACUCGUCAGUCAUUUUAUUGCUGAAG
This 3918-nucleotide long non-coding RNA is filed under the name Zea mays. RNAcentral's name for it is "long non-coding RNA (ZMAY_LNC000780)". Lineage: Eukaryota; Viridiplantae; Streptophyta; Magnoliopsida; Poales; Poaceae. The record is from RNAcentral.